Molecule: transfer RNA, 85 nt
Filed under: Pseudochloris wilhelmii
Lineage: Eukaryota; Viridiplantae; Chlorophyta; Trebouxiophyceae; Chlorellales; Chlorellaceae
Description: tRNA-Ile
Rfam family: tRNA
About the family: Transfer RNA (tRNA) molecules are approximately 80 nucleotides in length. Their secondary structure includes four short double-helical elements and three loops (D, anti-codon, and T loops).
Source: RNAcentral
GCAUCCAUCGCUCAGUGGCCGAGAGCAUCGCACUCAUAAUGCGACUUCCAUCGUGACGUCGUUGGUUCGAAUCCAACUGGAUGCA